UUACUCUUUGUACAGGUAAGCCACCGAG
RNAcentral lists this small RNA (28 nucleotides) under Bombyx mori (domestic silkworm). RNAcentral's name for it is "ovarian small RNA-36636". The record is from RNAcentral. Lineage: Eukaryota; Metazoa; Arthropoda; Insecta; Lepidoptera; Bombycidae.